GCCUUUCCCAUUGACCACCAUGUUUGAGUUAUUUCCCAGCCUUACAGAAUCAGUGAAUUCUUCAUCAAAAUCAGAGAAACUCUCUUUUUUCACACAUGUGAUUGUUGCAUCCAGAAUCAAGAAACUACAUGUCAGUAUUGUGUUGAUUCUUUUCUUCAACAUAGGCCAUUAGCAACAUGUGUUCUUCACCCUCUACUCGACUUUCA
Molecule: long non-coding RNA, 206 nt
Filed under: Ricinus communis (castor bean)
Lineage: Eukaryota; Viridiplantae; Streptophyta; Magnoliopsida; Malpighiales; Euphorbiaceae
Description: long non-coding RNA (RCOM_LNC002389)
Source: RNAcentral